UAUAGCUAUUGUGUUAAGAUGUUGGUAUUAUAUAUAGUUUUUCCCCAUGUGUUCUGUUUGUGUUACUUUUAUAAUUAAAUAAUUUUUAAAGAGGUACUUGAGAAAGUUAAGGUCAGAUUUCAAAUAGGUGGACUCAGUUGUAUCAAGAUGAACACGUCUGAGGGCAAUCAACAGAAAGCAGAACGUACAUGAAAUAUACAUAUAUUUUUUUUCAUAUAUACGUGUAACAGGGACGUUUCUCAUUCUAGACAGUACAAAGAGAAAAUUUCAUUUUCAAGGAGUAGCUGUGCUUUGAUCAAUGGUAUAGACAAGAUUCCAAAGUGGCAGAUAAAGUGGUGCUGUGGCUGCCUGUAGUAUGUGAAGCACCCGUAGUUUCACAAGUGUAAAGGAUCGGGAACCAGAGGAGCCCACUCUUUCAGGCAACCAACAGGCUUGGACCAGGGACAAAAGUGGGGAGAAGACCUAAAAUUGAAAGGACUGAACAGCAGUGCCAGCAAAGGAGUUCCAGAAGGAAAAACUGAAGGGAAGAGUGGAUAAGCUAUACUUUAAAAAAGAAGAAAGAAAUGACUGAAGAUUUUCUAAUCAAAACAUCAGAAUACCAUAUGUACUGAACAAGAAAGAAAAACCACCAGAAUUACAAAGACAAACUGACAACCCCACUCUCUGAAUGGGAGAUUUUAACAAUCUAUCAGACACGACUAGAUCAAGAAGAACAAAAAAAACAGAGAGAACAAUGACUCUGCAUUGACUGAAGUUGGAAGGGGUGUUAAAUUAUACAACCAAACUGAGGUUACUUACAAAUGCUGGAAAUUAGGAGCUAUUUUUCCAAAGACACUUCAUUCAGUAGCUUCAAGCAUGAAAAAAGUUUAAAGAACUUACAGAUUUCCAAUUAUGAAUUUUAAGCUUUUGUAUUUAUUUUACAGCCAUUCCAAAAUGCAAAUGAGGUUCAAAGUUCCAAACGUGCUGUGCAAUUUCAAUUUAAUAUUCUAAUGCAUGGAGUGAAGUUUGAGCCUAUAAUACAGAAACAGGACUACUUGAACAGCCAAGAAACGCUUUGGAGCCUUAAAGGGAAAUCUGCUUGGGAGUCUGCAGACUAAAAGGUUUCUGGUAGGAAUAGAGCCACAAUGAGAUGUAUGACUCUAGCAUUGCCUCUUAAGUGAUGGCAAGGAUGUGUUUUGAAAAGACAAAAUCCUUUUUGUGUCUGAUUUUUAAAGUUAACACUUAUUUGAGGGCUAAUAUUGCACUAAAUUUCAUACAUGGAGUCUGCUGUUUAUUAUGAGCCAUUAUGUUCAAGUUCACUUCAGACAAUAUUGCUCCUUCAAUUGCAGUCUGCAUUCAAGGGCAGUGCAAGCAAAAUAGUGAAGAGGGCUCUUCUCCUUUAGGGCCAGUUGCUGUAUCACCCUACCUAAAACCUGAUUUGGUUACCAUUAUGCUAUAUAGACAUCUCUGUCUUGCUGCAGAAAUGCUAAAAUCAGAGAUUCCACUAUCAAGAUGUUGUAGGGUUCUUCCCUAUAACAGAAGUUGAAAGAACGGAUGUAUUACACUUUUCUGAUGUUUUUCAAAAUUAUAGUAACAUGUUAGUUUUAAACAGCAUGAAAAAAAUUAGGCCACAUCAAUAAAAUUAUAGUUCUUUAUAUUUCUAGUUGAGCCAGAUAUGUAUUAAAGUUGAAGGGGGUUUUCAUUUUUGUUUUUGUGUUGGUGGUAGUUUUUUUCUUCAAAUCUUUGUGCUUCCUGGAAAUAUAUAUGCAAGGAAGGAAGGAAGGAAGGAAUUGAUGUGCCAAUAGAUGUGAAUAAUGCUGAAGAUUUACACACACUACACAGAAAUUACUACUACCUCUACAAGUACAUCAAGAUUUGAAGAUGGGAUUAGCCCCCAACAGAAAAAACAAACUAAUUGUAUCAUUUUCACAGUAGCAAUAUUAAUCAUUAUGUUAAUGUAUCAAUAAUAACAAGAAAUUUGGAAAGGUCUUUAGUGCUUUCUCUCAUAUUUCAGCAAAAUAUCCACAGUGUCCCCUUAUUUUUAUGAAUUGGGGGAAAAUGAA
Physeter macrocephalus (sperm whale) is the source of this 2042-nucleotide long non-coding RNA. RefSeq lists it as uncharacterized. The transcript is spliced from 5 exons. The record is from RefSeq and is a predicted model, not a curated record. NCBI's taxonomy places the organism in Eukaryota, Metazoa, Chordata, Mammalia, Artiodactyla, Physeteridae.